GCCCCCGUAGCUCAGUGGAUAGAGCGAUCCCCUCCUAAGGGAUAGGUCACACGUUCGAUCCGUGUCGGGGGCGCCA
Molecule: transfer RNA, 76 nt
Filed under: Herbaspirillum chlorophenolicum
Lineage: Bacteria; Pseudomonadati; Pseudomonadota; Betaproteobacteria; Burkholderiales; Oxalobacteraceae
Also listed under: 5 other names
Description: tRNA-Arg
Rfam family: tRNA
About the family: Transfer RNA (tRNA) molecules are approximately 80 nucleotides in length. Their secondary structure includes four short double-helical elements and three loops (D, anti-codon, and T loops).
Source: RNAcentral